GAGGCGGGUAGCCCGGUGGUUAGAGGAGGAGGCAGGUAGCCUAGUGGUUAGAGGAGGAGGCAGGUAGCCUAGUGGUUAGAGGAGGAGGCAGGUAGCCUAGUGGGUAGAGGAGGCAGGUAGCCUAGUGGUUAGAGGAGGCAGGUAGCCUAGUGGUUAGAGGAGGCAGGUAGCCUGGUGGUUAGAGGAGGCAGGUAGCCUAGUGGUUAGAGGAGGCAGGUAGCCUAGUGGUUAGAGGAGGCAGGUAGCCUAGUGGUUAGAGUGUUGGCCUAGUAACUGAAAGGUUGCUAGAUUGAAUCCCCGAGCUGACAAGGUAAAAAUCUGUCGUUCUGCCCCUGAACAAGGUAGGCCGUCAUUAUAAAUAAUAAUUAGUUCUUAACUGACUUGCCUGGUUAACUAAAAAAAAAUAGCUCUGGUUAAAAUGGGAUGCCUGCUAUUUGCACUGCAUUUCUCUGGUCAAAAGAAGGGCACUAUGGGGUGCCUGGCAAAUUCAUCAACACAACAACAACGGAUAAGAUCUUCUGGUUGCAUAUCACCCAGCUAGAGUUCUCCUGGCUAACGAGACUCCACAUGCAGAAAUAUCAGUGGAAUUUAUCGAACUUGAACGAACAUAUUCUCUCGUCAGGUAAAUAUGUUUCCUAGGCCUUUACGUUUGGUUGGAAUGGGUUUUUUAAAUGCCCAAGCCGGUUCACUUUCCUGUUAGUGACAUAUAGGCUAUACUGUAUUUAUUAGUUAUGCCUUUAUUUAUUUAUUUAUUAUUAUAUAUAUAUUUAUUUUAAAUAAACGAAGUCAUACUUAAAAGGGAGAGAUAUCGUGCGCUUUUUUUCUCAUUAUGUUGACAGUCACGCGGGCGUGUAAUAAAGGAACGCGGAGUUAACAUGCGCUGUUAAUUUUUCAUUGCUUUUUUUUUCGUUUAGGGGGCUCACCCACCCAAAAAACCGAGAGAGAGAGACGAGAGGGGUAGAGAGAGAGAGAGAGAGAGAGAACUUGUCAUAAGUACAAAAUAAAGGAAAUGGGAAAAAGGAAUGAAUGGAACUAAAACCAAAACAACAAUUCUGCCUUCGAUGAUGUUCACGUCAUAAACACAUUUUAAAGAAGCACCUCUCCUCUCCUCUCCUCCCCUCUCCUCUACUCUCCUUCUCCCUCCCUCUCUCCCCCUCUCCUCUCCUCUCCUCCCCUCUCCUCUCC
This 1185-nucleotide long non-coding RNA is filed under the name Salmo salar (Atlantic salmon). Its description in RNAcentral is "lncRNA (ENSSSAG00000114213.1)". The record is from RNAcentral. Lineage: Eukaryota; Metazoa; Chordata; Actinopteri; Salmoniformes; Salmonidae.